AGAGUUUGAUCCUGGCUCAGGACGAAUGCUGGCGGUGUGCUUCAUACAUGCAAGUCGAACGAGAUAGCAAUAUCUAGUGGCGGACGGGUGAGUAACGCGUGGGAAUCUGCCUUAAGAUGGGGGAUAGCUAGCCGAAAGGCUAAUUAAUACCGCAUAUGUAUAUAUUUCGACAGUUUUAUAUAUAAAAGUAGUAAUACGUC
This 200-nucleotide ribosomal RNA is filed under the name uncultured bacterium. Its description in RNAcentral is "partial 16S ribosomal RNA". It matches the Rfam family "Bacterial small subunit ribosomal RNA", at positions 8 to 219 of the family's 1533-position model. The record is from RNAcentral.